GACGAACGCUGGCGGCGUGCUUAACACAUGCAAGUCGAACGGAAAGGCCUGCUUUCCCUUGUGGAUUGCGGGUACUCGAGUGGCGAACGGGUGAGUAACACGUGAGUGAUCUGCCCCCAACUUGGGUAUAAGCCUGGGAAACUGGGUCUAAUUCCCGAUAGGACUGCAGGGUGGUGCCUGUGGUGGAAAACGAUUUUCUAGUGGUUGGGGAUGAGCUCGCGGCCUAUCAGCUUGUUGGUGGGGUAAUGGCCUACCAAGGCGGCGACGGGUAGCCGGCCUGGGAGGGUGGACGGCCACAUUGGGGCUGAGAUACGGCCCAGACUCCUACGGGAGGCAGCAGUGGGGAAUAUUGCACAAUGGGCGGAAGCCUGAUGCAGCGACGCCGCGUGGGGGAUGACGGCCUUCGGGUUGUAAACUCCUUUCGACCGCGAGGAAGCCACCUGGUUGGAAGGGUGGUGACGGUAGUGGUAGAAGAAGCACCGGCUAACUACGUG
This 494-nucleotide ribosomal RNA is filed under the name uncultured bacterium. RNAcentral describes it as "partial 16S ribosomal RNA". It matches the Rfam family "Bacterial small subunit ribosomal RNA", at positions 28 to 507 of the family's 1533-position model. The record is from RNAcentral.